This 73-nucleotide transfer RNA is filed under the name Deltaproteobacteria bacterium. Its description in RNAcentral is "tRNA-Asn". It matches the Rfam family "tRNA". Rfam says of the family: Transfer RNA (tRNA) molecules are approximately 80 nucleotides in length. Their secondary structure includes four short double-helical elements and three loops (D, anti-codon, and T loops). Further hydrogen bonds mediate the characteristic L-shaped molecular structure. tRNAs have two regions of fundamental functional importance: the anti-codon, which is responsible for specific mRNA codon recognition, and the 3' end, to which the tRNAs corresponding amino acid is attached (by aminoacyl-tRNA synthetases). tRNAs cope with the degeneracy of the genetic code in two manners: having more than one tRNA (with a specific anti-codon) for a particular amino acid; and 'wobble' base-pairing, i.e. permitting non-standard base-pairing at the 3rd anti-codon position. Lineage: Bacteria; Pseudomonadati; Myxococcota; Myxococcia. The record is from RNAcentral.
UGAGGAGUAGCUCAGAAGGCAGAGCGCCUGGCUGUUAACUAGGUUGUCGCUGGUUCGAUUCCAGCCUCCUCAG